CGAACCCUCAGUUUUGAUAGAAGCCCUAAAACGAUACGUAACAAUAAAAGAAAAUUCGGCUGGCUGAUAUUUAUGAUCUAUUUAUCAAUGUUUUAUAAGUCGAUGAAGGCGUUAGAGGUUCUUGUCAUUUCUCAUCUUGAAGCUCAUCCUUGCAACUUCCAAGUCCGCGCCUCUGCAAUACCACUGUCGGCUGAAAUCUUUCAGCUGUGAAAACGUGAGCCGCAGCAGCACCAACGUGCACCCACAUUGUAGUUGAUAUUGGGCGGUGUUUUCUUCACAGUUGAUUUUCCCAGGGAGGCCAUGGGUUUCGACAACGAGAGUAUCAUUAAUAUUCAAUCACUCCCAGGAGAAUAUUUCUGUCCGGUUUGCCGGCAGCUAGUUUACCCUAAUGAAGCUAUACAAACCCAAUGCACACAUCUCUACUGCAAGCCUUGCCUAACUUAUGUGUUGAGUACUACUAGGGCCUGCCCUUAUGAUGGUUACUUGGUCACUGAUACAGAUUCAAAGGCAUUGCAAGAGGCAAAUCCAGUCCUGGCUGAUACUAUUGGCCGUGUACCAGUUCAUUGCCUGUAUCAUAAGAGCGGCUGUACUUGGCAAGGACCUCUCUCUGAGAGCAUUGCUCAUGGGAAUGGCUGUCAAUAUGGUUCAUCCCCUGUUGUUUGUAAUAGAUGUGGCACCCAGAUUGUUCAUCGACAAGUACAAGAGCAUGCUCAGAAUUGCCCUGGAACACAGGGUCAGGUCCCACAACAAGAAAGUGCUCCUCAGGCACAAUCUGCCGCAGCACAUCCUGAGCAGAAUCAAGUGGUACAAGCUGGUGGUCAACAAUAUGCGGCACAAACAACUGCCCAAGUCACACAAGCUCCGGUUUCUCAACCUACUCCAUAUGGCACGGGGCAAGAUCAACACCAGGGAAUGGCUGUGCCACAAACUGCUACCCAAGUUUCUGCUACUGACCAGUGGUAUCAACAACAAUAUCAACAGUACUACCAGCAAUAUCCACAGUAUGACCAAUAUCAGCAACAAUACCAACAAUAUGACCAGUAUCAGCAGCAAGUCCAGGCUCAACUGCAACAGCAGGUUCAACCCCAGGCACAGGUGCAAGCUCAGGUGCAGGCACAAGCACAGGCACAGCUUCAGGCCCAGGUGCAACCACAAGGCCAGCCCCAGCCACAAAGUCAGCAUCAUCAUCAGCCCCAUCCCCAGCCCCAGCCCCAGCCCCAGCCCCAGCCUCAGCCUCAGCUGCAGGCCCCGCCCCAUGCCCAUCCACAACUACAGCCUCAAGCACAAGCUGCACAUGCUUCUCAGCCUUAUCAACAGGGCCAAGGGCAAGCAGGUCUUAUGCCUCAGCAGGUACAACCUCAACACCAAUUAAUGCAACCCCAGUUACAUCAACUGAUGCCUAAUCAAUCACAACAGCUACCAAUGCAGCAACAUCCAAUGCCUGUGCAAUCUCAGCAACAGCCUUCACAACAAACCCAGCAACAUCCCAUUAAUUUGCAGCAGCAAUUUCAAUCAUCACAGCAGCCUCAAUUGCAACAACAACUUCCAUCAUCACAGCAACCUGCUCAUAUGCAGCAGCAGCAACCGGCUCUGCUAACUCAGCAACUUCCACAGCAGCAGCCACAACUACAACAGCACGCUCAACUACAUCAACAACAACAUCAACAAAUUGUGCACCAGCCACCACCACAGCAGCAACUAAUGUUACAGCAGCAGAUUCCUACACAGGUCCAGCAGCCACCCCAUGGGCCUGUGCAGCAGCAUCAACAAUUUCCAUCUCAGCAUCAUCAGUUGCCUCAACAGCAACAGCAACAGCAACAGGCACCAUUUUUCACUCAACCAAUUCAGACUCAACAACCCCAAAUGCAGCCUCCUUUCCAACAAGCAACAGCACAACCCUCUCAGAUGCAACCUCCCUUCCAACCAGGUCCUCAGCCAGCACAGUCAUUUCCUCAAGCCUAUUCACAAAGUGUGGGACAUAUGAAUGCUCCUCAACAGGUGGGCAGUAGGCCCCCCUUAACCCAGAACCAGGGGUUAUUACAGCAGCCCUUUCCACAAUCACAGGGAAGACCUCAUCCUUCACCAUAUGGUCAAACUGUUCGUGGUCCAACCAAAGCAUUACAAGCUGCGCCCAACCAAGUUCCAAUACCUAACCAAAAUGCACCACCAAGCCAGGCAUUCCUGCCAAGACAUGGUCAGCGGCCACAAAUGCCUCAUCAACGUCCCCCAGUUCAUCAAUCUGCAUUACCUCGUCUGAACAGCCAACAAUCUCUUGUGUCUGGUUCAGCUACCACACAAUCUAUGAGAAGUAGUGUCCAAACUUCUACCUCAUCUGGUGCCCCUAAGGUAUCUCCUGCAUUGGAGAAACCACAAGAAAUUAGUACACAAGAUAAAAUUUCCAAAACUUCGCAAAAUGAGCAUGGUCUGCAGACUACAAAAUCUGUUCAAUUGAAUGAAGUAAAUGAUGCCCCAGGGAAAAAAAAUGUUGUAGAAACUGUCAAGGCUGAAACUAUGAUGUCUGAUAAAAAAUCUGAACACAGUGAGCAACAGCUGGCCAAUGAAAAGGUGGAACAGAAAAAUCUUUCUAUAUCAGAGCCUGUUAAGUCUGAGGUUUCUGAUUCUUCUCAACAACAAAUGUCAACCAAAGAUUUACAAUUUGAGAAGCAUGAACCUAAUCUACAGCAGUCAGUUUCUCAGAAGAAAGUGCUUGAAGAUAGCUCUGAAAAAAAACCAGAGGUGAGUGUAGACAAAAACUUACAGGAGCCAACUGGGCAUAUGAGAGAUGCAAUUUCGGAACAUGCUCGUCAUCGUCAAGAUGGAAACAUGCAACAGUAUCCUCGCCAGGUGCAAGAGACAAAUUUCCUUCAAAAUGUUACUCAGAAAGUUCAAGAGCCACGACGAGUAGAUGAUAAAAGACAAGGUACUCGUUCUUCCCAAGACAAUCUGCAAUGGCAAGAAGGGAAUGUUUUACAACAGGUGUCACAAGGACAAGAUAAAAGCCUGCAACCACCUCUCCGACAAGGACUAAAUCAGGGGCAGGAAAAGAACUUAUUUCAAGUUCAAAGUUCUCGUCAAGGGCCAGUUCAAGGACAGGACAAGAGCUCACAGCAUACUUCCCGUCAAGGUUCUAUCCAAGGACAGGAUAGGAACUUACCUCCACCUCCUCGUCAGGGUCCAGCUCAUGGACAGGACAGGAAUCUGAUGCAACUUCCUCGUCAAGGGCAAAACCGUAGCUUCCAACAGCCUCUUCGUCAAGGGUCUGUUUCUGGACAGGAUAGAAGCUCUCAAUCAGCCCCUCAGCAAGGGCCAAUGCAAGGGCAAGAGAGAUCCUUGCAACAGCCCCUUCAAAAUGAAAGAGAUGCGCAUCAGAUAUCUAUGCAAGCACAAGUCCAAGGGCAUGAAAGGUUUCAGCCACCACGUCAAGGGCAACCACAAGGAGCACAGUUACCAUAUUCAGGCCAGCCACAAAAUGCUGAUAGAAAUUUCCCGCAAUUGCCAUAUCAAGGGCAGCUCCACAGCAUUCCUGAUCAAUUUCAUCAUUCGUCUUCAAAGCAGAGUGGCAUGCCUUCUAUGUCUCUGCUUCCACAAAAUCAACCGAGCAAUAUGUCAUCUUUUGCAAGGGGACAUGGUCAGGUACAGGCUCCACCUAAAAAUUUUGACAUGCCAUCACCUUCUCAUUUGCAUCAUCAACAGAUGGCCCCUCCUAGGUCUUCACAAGGAGAGUCAAUGCUUGGUUUGCCAUUGAGCUUAUCCUCAAGCAUGUCUCAUCAUCUAAGCUCAUUUGAAGGUCCAAGAGGUUUUAUGGACAGGAGCUUGCAAUAUGGUCAAACAUUACAGCAGUCACCUCUUUCAAAACCAAUGGACCAUAUGGACAUUUUGGGAAAUAGGAGGACUGAGGCUUUUGAAAAUAAACAGAAUGAUCCACAACAGCUAGCAGGAUCUAGGUUUUCGAUGACCCAGCCGUCAGGUCAGCAGACGAAUAUGAUGAAACCAAAUGGAGCAACUAACAAGGGGCAUAUAGAGGGAAUGCAGGCACCUGCAUUUCCUCCAAUUAUGGGAGAAGAAGGUAGCUUCAGGUCUAUGCAGCAUGAUUCCAGCAGACAGUUUCCUGACAGGAAAGAGUUUCAAGACAAUUCCAGAAAGUACAAGCCUGGACAGUUCGAUGCGCAGAUUCCAUCAAAUCCAGAUGAAAUGUUUCCUCUAAUUCGUCAUCAGAAGGGUCAGCCAGCACCCUCAUCAAAGUUUGAUCAAAUUAUUCCUACAUCAAGGCCUCUUGAAGGUGGGCCCCAUGGUUUCUUGCCUGAUUCUGUUUCAAAAUAUCCAUUUACUUCAGCAGGAAGUCCAUCUGGAGGCCCAUCAAGAUUGUUUCCUCCAUAUCAAUCAAUUGGUUCAUUUCCAACAAGUAGUGGUGUGCCAUCAAUGUUUAACUCGGAUAGUGGAGAUGGACCAAGACUUCCUGGGAUACAUGAGGAAAUGAUGGGUAGAAGACCCGAGUCAGGUGGAAUGAGGCCUGAUUUUAUGGGACCCAGGUCUGAAUUUGGCCGUAGUCGAUUUGAUGCCCUUGCUCCACCAAGGAGUCCUGGGAAGGAUUACAUGGGCAUGCCUUCUGGCAGGCCAAAUAUAGGUCCAUCUGGGGGUUUUGGACCUGUUGGAGGGCCUUCUCAUCUUUCACGUCCAAUAGAGGACAUGAAUAGAGACCCUCUUGGUUUUGAUGAGCAAAGAAAUAAAUCAUUUGGUUUUCAUUCUGGAGCCAUGCAUAAUGCAUUUCAGUCUGGACAACUUCCACCGGGUGUUGGAAACAGGUUCCCUCCAUUUCACUCUGGUCCAGCACCAGGUGCUCCUGGAGCAUUGCCCAAUCCUAUGAUGAUGGGUGAGCCGGUUGCUAAUUUCGGUGGCACCAUUCCUAUGCAGGGAUUUCCUGGUGAAAGUGGAUUUUUCAAGAAGCAAGGUCAAAUGCCAAAUGAUGUUGAGCCUUUGGAUCUAGGAAGGAAGAGAAAGCCAGGCAGCACAGGAUGGUGUCGAAUUUGUCAAAUUGAUUGCUAUACUGUAGAAGGACUGGAGCAACAUACACAAACAAGGGAGCAUCAGAAGACAGCUAUGGAUAUGGUUUUGAGCAUAAAGCAAGAUAGUGCUAAAAGGCAAAAGCUCUCCACGGAAGAUCCAACGUCUCAGGAAAAUGGAAAUAAAACAAAAAAGGCCAGUUUUGAGAGUCGUGGGAGCAGGCGCUGAUUUUGUGGUGAAUGGCUCUGUUGAUUAUAAGUGGCUAUUCAUUUCUAUGACAGUUGCAACUCCGUAAGUGCGUAAUUCUUUACCUUCACAGGGCUGAUUCUUGUCCAUCUGCAACAGAUCCUUUGAACUAAAGUUGCUGUUUCAAGUUGCUUUGAGGAUAUGAGCAUUGUGAGGAACGUAGCUUGUUAUGGUUGCUUAUAUCAUGAUUCAUAACCCAGCUUAUACAAUCAUGUUCCCUCACAAGCAUUUUCGACAUGAAGAGCCCUCUAGACUCUUGAGCUUUUCAUCUGUUAAUAGAGAAACUCGAUCGUGUAAGGUUGGCGACGAAAGGAGCUGCUCAGGCAAGAAUGGUUGCAGUUGGUGCCUUCACACAAUCGGAGGGGAAGAUUAUAGUGUUUUGGGGCCUUCUUCUGCCUUCAGAUUAACAGGUCUCCUCAUGAUAACUUCAAUUACUGAUUCUUGCACAUUUCCACUAAUGACAUAGUUUUGCAGCAAUAUCGAAAGAGAUUAUAUGUUGAAGCUCUUUUCUCCUUUCGAUUUUGAUUAAAAUAUUUAUUACCUCAGGUGAAUGUGUCUGAAUUACUUUUUAUCUUCAACUUCUAAGUUUCAUGUACCUAAGAAGGUUGUUGGCCAUGCAUUGUUGCCUCUCUUACCAUAGAAAUGUCUACUUUUAAUUAUACCCAACUAUAGAUUUUACGAAAAUAUUUCGCUUUCUCCAUCAAGAAACAGUUACAUAGAUUUUUAUCAUAGUCACCAUCUGCCUGUAAGAUGGCUUAUUUGUAGAAGCAAGAACACUGCUGCCCUGAGUGCAAGAUGACCAUUGGAUGUCUUGACAAGAGCAUAAUUGACGAGAAACUGUUAGAUGGAUGAGCCCUUCCAUAGUAAAUGUAUCCUGUUUAUUUUUUUGACAGCC
Cryptomeria japonica (Japanese cedar) is the source of this 6142-nucleotide RNA transcript. It is a transcript of the gene named chromatin modification-related protein eaf-1, with no coding region annotated. The transcript has 8 exons. NCBI's taxonomy places the organism in Eukaryota, Viridiplantae, Streptophyta, Pinopsida, Cupressales, Cupressaceae. The record is from RefSeq and is a predicted model, not a curated record.